RNAcentral lists this transfer RNA (73 nucleotides) under Ovis aries (sheep). It matches the Rfam family "tRNA". Rfam says of the family: Transfer RNA (tRNA) molecules are approximately 80 nucleotides in length. Their secondary structure includes four short double-helical elements and three loops (D, anti-codon, and T loops). The record is from Rfam by way of RNAcentral. Lineage: Eukaryota; Metazoa; Chordata; Mammalia; Artiodactyla; Bovidae.
UCCCUGGUGGUUCAGCAGUUAGGACUCUGUGCUUCCACUGCAGGAGGCACAGGUUCAAUCCCCGGUCAGGGAA